RNAcentral lists this ribosomal RNA (253 nucleotides) under uncultured bacterium. Its description in RNAcentral is "partial 16S ribosomal RNA". It matches the Rfam family "Bacterial small subunit ribosomal RNA", at positions 524 to 776 of the family's 1533-position model. The record is from RNAcentral.
UACGAAGGGUGCAAGCGUUAUCCGGAUUCACUGGGUUUAAAGGGUGCGUAGGUGGGUAAGUAAGUCAGUGGUGAAAUCUCCGAGCUUAACUUGGAAACUGCCAUUGAUACUAUUGAUCUUGAAUUCUGUUGAGGUGGGCGGAAUAAGUCAUGUAGCGGUGAAAUGCAUAGAUAUGACUUAGAACACCAAUUGCGAAGGCAGCUCGCUAAACAGAUAUUGACGCUGAGGCACGAAAGCGUGGGGAUCAAACAGG